GUUACGCAACUUCCUGUGGAAAUAGAAACUGAAACCAACUUUGGUCUCCUUCAGAUCAGCCUCCAUUUUGAGCUGCAGGAUGGAAAUAACUUGCUGACUUGUUACUAGAGGUUCAAAAGGAAAAUACCUAUCAACUGGACUGACUGGUUCUGGUUUCUCUCUCCAAAUGGCCAGAAGAUGAAAGAUGGGUAUCAGUCCAUCUAUGAGGAGUGACCGGUCCAAAGGUCAUCCUUCAGACUUCAGUAAUGAACCUGAACCAUCAGACAGAAAGAGCUGUGAGUGUGAAGAAAGACCCAGAACAGGAGCUGAACGGCCGACAGC
This is a long non-coding RNA of Xiphophorus hellerii (green swordtail), 321 nucleotides long. RefSeq lists it as uncharacterized. NCBI's taxonomy places the organism in Eukaryota, Metazoa, Chordata, Actinopteri, Cyprinodontiformes, Poeciliidae. The record is from RefSeq and is a predicted model, not a curated record. The transcript has 3 exons.